Molecule: unclassified non-coding RNA, 146 nt
Filed under: Hymenella cerealis
Lineage: Eukaryota; Fungi; Ascomycota
Description: Cephalosporium gramineum partial internal transcribed spacer 2
Source: RNAcentral
UAACCACUCAAGCCUUCGCUUGGUAUUGGGGUUCGCGGUCUCGCGGCCCCUAAAAUCAGUGGCGGUGCCUGUCGGCUCUACGCGUAGUAAUACUCCUCGCGAUUGAGUCCGGUGGGUAGCUUGCCAACAACCCCCAAAUUUUUACA